This 489-nucleotide ribosomal RNA is filed under the name uncultured bacterium. Its description in RNAcentral is "partial 16S ribosomal RNA". It matches the Rfam family "Bacterial small subunit ribosomal RNA", at positions 355 to 840 of the family's 1533-position model. The record is from RNAcentral.
UGGGGAAUAUUGCACAAUGGGCGCAAGCCUGAUGCAGCCAUGCCGCGUGUGUGAAGAAGGCCUUCGGGUUGUAAAGCACUUUCAGCGAGGAGGAAGGUGGUGAGCUUAAUACGCUCAUCAAUUGACGUUACUCGCAGAAGAAGCACCGGCUAACUCCGUGCCAGCAGCCGCGGUAAUACGGAGGGUGCAAGCGUUAAUCGGAAUUACUGGGCGUAAAGCGCACGCAGGCGGUUUGUUAAGUCAGAUGUGAAAUCCCCGGGCUCAACCUGGGAACUGCAUUUGAAACUGGCAAGCUAGAGUCUCGUAGAGGGGGGUAGAAUUCCAGGUGUAGCGGUGAAAUGCGUAGAGAUCUGGAGGAAUACCGGUGGCGAAGGCGGCCCCCUGGACGAAGACUGACGCUCAGGUGCGAAAGCGUGGGGCAGCAAACAGGAUUAGAUACCCUGGUAGUCCACGCUGUAAACGAUGUCGAUUUUGGAGGUUGUGCCCCUU